This 486-nucleotide ribosomal RNA is filed under the name uncultured bacterium. Its description in RNAcentral is "partial 16S ribosomal RNA". It matches the Rfam family "Bacterial small subunit ribosomal RNA", at positions 30 to 507 of the family's 1533-position model. The record is from RNAcentral.
AUUGAACGCUGGCGGCAUGCCUUACACAUGCAAGUCGAACGGCAGCACGGGUGCUUGCACCUGGUGGCGAGUGGCGAACGGGUGAGUAAUACAUCGGAACAUGUCCUGUAGUGGGGGAUAGCCCGGCGAAAGCCGGAUUAAUACCGCACACGAUCUACGGAUGAAAGCGGGGGACCUUCGGGCCUCGCGCUAUAGGGUUGGCCGAUGGCUGAUUAGCUAGUUGGUGGGGUAAAGGCCUACCAAGGCGACGAUCAGUAGCUGGUCUGAGAGGACGACCAGCCACACUGGAACUGAGACACGGCCCAGACUCCUACGGGAGGCAGCAGUGGGGAAUUUUGGACAAUGGGCGAAAGCCUGAUCCAGCAAUGCCGCGUGUGUGAAGAAGGCCUUCGGGUUGUAAAGCACUUUUGUCCGGAAAGAAAUCCUUUGCUCUAAUACAGUCGGGGGAUGACGGUACCGGAAGAAUAAGCACCGGCUAACUACGUG